GCCGACGUAGCUCAAACGGCAGAGCAGCGGUUUUGUAAACCGCUUGUUGCGGGUUCAAGUCCCACCGUCGGCU
This 73-nucleotide transfer RNA is filed under the name Armatimonadota bacterium. RNAcentral's name for it is "Armatimonadetes bacterium (sediment metagenome) tRNA-Thr". It matches the Rfam family "tRNA". From Rfam's summary of the family: Transfer RNA (tRNA) molecules are approximately 80 nucleotides in length. Their secondary structure includes four short double-helical elements and three loops (D, anti-codon, and T loops). The record is from RNAcentral. Lineage: Bacteria; Bacillati; Armatimonadota.